CUCGCCUAAGGGGGGCAGCAGUAGGGAAUUUUCGUCAAUGGGCGCAAGCCUGAUCGAGCAAUGCCGCGUGAACGAGGAAGGUCUUCGGAUCGUAAAGUUCUGUUGAAGGGGAAAAAGAGCGGAGAGAGGAAAUGAACUCCGAUUGAUAUUACCCUUCGAGGAAGUCACGGCUAACUACGUGCCAGCAGCCGCGGUAAUACGUAGGUGGCGAGCGGUAUCCGGAAUGAUUGGGCGUAAAGGGUGCGUAGGCGGCCUGCUAAGUCUGGAGUGAAAGGUACCGGCCCAACCGGUACAGGCUCUGGAAA
RNAcentral lists this ribosomal RNA (305 nucleotides) under uncultured bacterium. RNAcentral's name for it is "bacterial SSU rRNA". It matches the Rfam family "Bacterial small subunit ribosomal RNA", at positions 334 to 632 of the family's 1533-position model. The record is from RNAcentral.